AUUGAACGCUGGCGGCAGGCCUAACACAUGCAAGUCGAGCGGUAGCACAGAGAGCUUGCUCUCGGGUGACGAGUGGCGGACGGGUGAGUAACGUCUGGGAAACUGCCCGAUGGAGGGGGAUAACUACUGGAAACGGUAGCUAGUACCGCAUAACGUCGCAAGACCAAAGUGGGGGACCUUCGGGCCUCACACCAUCGGAUGUGCCCAGAUGGGAUUAGCUAGUAGGUGGGGUAAUGGCUCACCUAGGCGACGAUCCCUAGCUGGUCUGAGAGGAUGACCAGCCACACUGGAACUGAGACACGGUCCAGACUCCUACGGGAGGCAGCAGUGGGGAAUAUUGCACAAUGGGCGCAAGCCUGAUGCAGCCAUGCCGCGUGUAUGAAGAAGGCCUUCGGGUUGUAAAGUACUUUCAGCGGGGAGGAAGGCGGUGAAGUUAAUAGCUUCACCGAUUGACGUUACCCGCAGAAGAAGCACCGGCUAACUCCGUGCCAGCCGCCGCAGUAA
This 504-nucleotide ribosomal RNA is filed under the name uncultured bacterium. RNAcentral's name for it is "partial 16S ribosomal RNA". It matches the Rfam family "Bacterial small subunit ribosomal RNA", at positions 29 to 523 of the family's 1533-position model. The record is from RNAcentral.